AUUGAACGCUGGCGGCAGGCCUAACACAUGCAAGUCGAGCGGAUGAAGGGAGCUUGCUCCUGGAUUCAGCGGCGGACGGGUGAGUAAUGCCUAGGAAUCUGCCUGGUUGUGGGGGAUAACGUCCGGAAACGGGCGCUAAUACCGCAUACGUCCUGAUGGAGAAAGUGGGGGAUCUUCGGACCUCACGCUAUCAGAUGAGCCUAGGUCGGAUUAGCCAGUUGGUGGGGUAAAGGCCUACCAAGGCGAGGAUCCGUAACUGGUCUGAGAGGAUGAUUAGCCACACUGGAACUGGAACACGGUCCAGGCUCCUACGGGAGGCAGCAGUGGGGAAUGUUGGACAGUGGGCGAAAGCCUGAUCCAGCCAUGCCGCGUGUGUGAAGAAGGUCUUCGGAUUGUAAAGCACUUUAAGUUGGGAGGAAGGGCAGUAAGUUAAUACCUUGCUGUUUUGACGUUACCAACAGAAUAAGCACCGGCUAACUUCGUG
This 484-nucleotide ribosomal RNA is filed under the name uncultured bacterium. RNAcentral's name for it is "partial 16S ribosomal RNA". It matches the Rfam family "Bacterial small subunit ribosomal RNA", at positions 30 to 507 of the family's 1533-position model. The record is from RNAcentral.